AACACAACUCUUCAAGCUUGAGCCCACCGUUGUAUUUCAGAUAAGUGGCCGUUGAUUGCCCAGUAAAAGCUUUAGUGUUGCCUAAAGGAAUCUCUGUUCGUGUACUGUGGAUUUUUACCCCAAUAGUUGUUACUGGAUGCUCUAGUUCAAGCAAAAUUCAAACAUGACAAAAUUCAAACAAGUUCUGAGACUCACAAAGGGAGACUGUUACUUUGAAGACUAACCUGAUUGGCUGCACCCCCCCCCCCCCCCCUCACUUUUGCAAGUAAUUCCAACUCCAAUUAUUAGCUACCAUCAGAUUGAGUGUACCAAAUGGUGUUCAUAUUCUUCUGGAGUAAUGUCUCAAAGAUCAAGUUCAUAUGAACGGUGGAUUUUAACUUCGUUGUAAUGCAGGAAAAUCUAGGUUGAGCGGCGAAAACGUCAAGUUUGUAGAAACGAGCAUGCCCGCAAAUUCACAAGGGGACGACCGUUGGCGGAGAGCUGAAAGAACCACAGUAACAAAGGAAGCAAACUGGAGCAGAAACGGAAGCGCGAACCGUAGCCCGUGUCUCCGCAGAGAAAAAAAGGAAAAGGGUUUUAAAAGUUUAUUUUUGCCAAUUUUCUUUUUUGUGUUGCUAGCCCCAGAACAUGUACUCAUUUGAUGCUUUUGCUUUCAGGUUAAUGUGAUGUCGUUGCGGUAAACGGAUGAGUAACGACUCGUUGCGAGCUACAGUGGGCUGCUGCCAGCGCUGAACGUUCUGCGCGGAAAUUGAACGCCAGUGAGCAGACCUCAAGGUCCCUUAGUCCAGGUGAGGAGCUUUGGGCAGUGCACCAUCUGCGGACCGCUGCUGGAGCCAAGUCUACGGAACCAAAGGCAGUGUUGUAUGAAGGCGAUUGAUGGAAUAAAAAAUUAUUAAACAUGA
Molecule: long non-coding RNA, 902 nt
Organism: Conger conger (European conger)
Lineage: Eukaryota; Metazoa; Chordata; Actinopteri; Anguilliformes; Congridae
Exons: 2
Source: RefSeq, a predicted model, not a curated record